Molecule: ribosomal RNA, 746 nt
Filed under: Hyalorbilia sp.
Lineage: Eukaryota; Fungi; Ascomycota; Orbiliomycetes; Orbiliales; Orbiliaceae
Description: LSU rRNA
Rfam family: Eukaryotic large subunit ribosomal RNA
Source: RNAcentral
UGCCUCAGUAGCGGCGAGUGAAGCGGCAAGAGCUCAGAUUUGGAACCCGGCGCGUUAUCGCUCCUGGAUUGUAAUCUGAAGAGGAAGCCCCCUGCAAGGGAGUGCGCCCAAGUUCCUUGGAACAGGACGUCUGAGAGGGUGAGAACCCCGUACCUGGCGUACCUCCCGCGCGCUGUGGGGCUCCUUCGACGAGUCGAGUUGUUUGGGAAUGCAGCUCAAACUGGGUGGUAAAUUCCAUCUAAAGCUAAAUACCGGCGGGAGACCGAUAGCGCACAAGUAGAGUGAUCGAAAGAUGAAAAGCACUUUGAAAAGAGAGUUAAAAAGUACGUGAAAUUGUUGAAAGGGAAGCGCUUGCCAUCAGAACCGGGCCCGGCCGAUCAGCGUUCCUUCUGGUUCGUGCACUCGGCCGGCGCCCGUGCCAGCAUCGGUGGCCGCGGCGGGACAAAGGCGGCGGGAACGUGGCUCCCCCCGGGGAGUGUUACAGCCCGCCGCGCAAUGCCGCCAGCCUGGCCACCGAGGACCGCGCUUCCGCAAGGAUGCUGGCCUAAUGGUUGUAAGCGACCCGUCUUGAAACACGGACCAAGGAGUCUAACAUCUACGCGAGUGUUCGGGUGGAAAACCCGCGCGCGAAAUGAAAGUGAACGGAGGUGGGAGCCUCGGCGCACCAUCGACCGAUCCUGAUGUCUUCGGAUGGAUUUGAGUAGGAGCGUAGCUGUUGGGACCCGAAAGAUGGUGAACUAUGCCUG